AAUAUUGCACAAUGGGGGAAACCCUGAUGCAGUGAGGCCGCGAGAGUGAAGAAGUAUUUCGGUAUAAAAAGCCCUAUUAGCAGGGAAGAAAAUGACGGUACCUGACUAAGAAGCCCCGGCUAACUACGUGCAAGCAGCCGCGGUAAUACCUAGGGGGCAAGCGUUAUCCGGAUUUACUGGGCGUAAAGGGAGCGUAGGUGGCGAGUCAAGUCAGAUGUGAAAGCCCGGGGCUCAACCCCGGGAUUGCAUUUGAAACUGGUUUGCUAGAGUGCAGGAGAGGUAAGUGGAAUUCCUAGUGUAGCGGUGAAAUGCGUAGAUAUUAGGAGGAACACCAGUGGCGAAGGCGGCUUACUGGACUGUAACUGACACUGAGGCUCGAAAGCGUGGGGAGCAAACA
RNAcentral lists this ribosomal RNA (397 nucleotides) under uncultured bacterium. RNAcentral's name for it is "partial 16S ribosomal RNA". It matches the Rfam family "Bacterial small subunit ribosomal RNA", at positions 360 to 774 of the family's 1533-position model. The record is from RNAcentral.